ACCUAGUCCCUUCCCACAUCUUGAAGGUGAUUUAUCAUUCCCUGAAGCAUUCAGCAGGAAGAGAACCUGGUGCCAGGCACGGGAUUGGCAGGCGAACUGUGGACAGCCAAGGAACCUCUGCACAAGCAGCAUCAUGCAACACCUGAUCCAAAGCCCAAAGCAGCAGCCAUCGUCUCCAACACACUUUGAACACGCUUGCUCACUUAACACCAGAGGUGGCUGAUCAACAGGUUCUACAAUUCUUGAAAGAAUACAAUAAAAAUAGUAACACAUUUUGACAAUAAUUAACAUUCUUAUACACCACAUUCUACACUACCUUGUUUUUGUCCUUGCUUAGUA
Molecule: long non-coding RNA, 339 nt
Organism: Chiroxiphia lanceolata (lance-tailed manakin)
Lineage: Eukaryota; Metazoa; Chordata; Aves; Passeriformes; Pipridae
Exons: 3
Source: RefSeq, a predicted model, not a curated record